CAACUUUCAGCAGGGGAAGUCUAGGCUCGCACAUCGAUGAAGAACGCUGCGAACUGCGAUACGUAAUGCGAAAUGCAGAAUUCAGUGAGUCAUCGAAAUUUUGAACGCACAUUGCACUUUCGGGUUAUGCCUGAAAGUAUGCCUGUAUCAGUGUCCGUA
This 159-nucleotide ribosomal RNA is filed under the name Pythium dissotocum. Its description in RNAcentral is "5.8S ribosomal RNA". It matches the Rfam family "5.8S ribosomal RNA". Rfam says of the family: 5.8S ribosomal RNA (5.8S rRNA) is a component of the large subunit of the eukaryotic ribosome. Lineage: Eukaryota; Oomycota; Peronosporomycetes; Pythiales; Pythiaceae. The record is from RNAcentral.